Molecule: ribosomal RNA, 761 nt
Filed under: uncultured bacterium
Lineage: Bacteria
Description: bacterial SSU rRNA
Rfam family: Bacterial small subunit ribosomal RNA
Source: RNAcentral
GAUGAACGCUAGCUACAGGCUUAACACAUGCAAGUCGAGGGGAAACGAUAUUGGAAGCUUGCUUCCGAUAGGCGUCGACCGGCGCACGGGUGAGUAACGCGUAUCCAACCUGCCCAUCACUUGGGAAUAACCUUGCGAAAGUAAGACUAAUGCCCAAUGACAUUUAUAGAAGGCAUCCGAAAUGAAUUAAAGAUUUAUCGGUGAUGGAUGGGGAUGCGUCUGAUUAGCUUGUUGGCGGGGUAACGGCCCACCAAGGCGACGAUCAGUAGGGGUUCUGAGAGGAAGGUCCCCCACAUUGGAACUGAGACACGGUCCAAACUCCUACGGGAGGCAGCAGUGAGGAAUAUUGGUCAAUGGGCGAGAGCCUGAACCAGCCAAGUAGCGUGCAGGAAGACGGCCCUAUGGGUUGUAAACUGCUUUUAUAGGGGAAUAAAGUGAGCCACGUGUGGUUUUUUGCAUGUACCCUAUGAAUAAGGACCGGCUAAUUCCGUGCCAGCAGCCGCGGUAAUACGGAAGGUCCGGGCGUUAUCCGGAUUUAUUGGGUUUAAAGGGAGCGUAGGCCGGAGAUUAAGCGUGUUGUGAAAUGUAGACGCUCAACGUCUGCACUGCAGCGCGAACUGGUUUCCUUGAGUACGCAUAAAGUGGGCGGAAUUCGUGGUGUAGCGGUGAAAUGCUUAGAUAUCACGAAGAACUCCGAUUGCGAAGGCAGCUCACUGGGGCGCAACUGACGCUGAAGCUCGAAAGCGCGGGUAUCGAACAGG